GUGAGAAUGUUGGCAUGAGUAGCGAGAUGUGGGUGAGAAUCCCACAGGCCGUAAACCCAAGGUUUCCAGGGGAAGGUUCGUCCGCCCUGGGUUAGUCGGGACCUAAGCUGAGGCCGAAAGGCGUAGGUGAUGGACAACAGGUUGAUAUUCCUGUACUACCGAUAACCGUUUGAGAGAAGGGAUGACACAGUAGGAUAAGCUAAGCACACUGUUGGUUAUGUGUGCCCAAGCAUUGAGGCAGUCAAAGUAGGCAAAUCCGCUUUGAUAAUGCUGGGAUGUGAUGGGGAGCGAAAUU
This 295-nucleotide ribosomal RNA is filed under the name Clostridioides difficile. RNAcentral describes it as "partial 23S ribosomal RNA". It matches the Rfam family "Bacterial large subunit ribosomal RNA", at positions 1288 to 1580 of the family's 2925-position model. The record is from RNAcentral. Lineage: Bacteria; Bacillati; Bacillota; Clostridia; Peptostreptococcales; Peptostreptococcaceae.